Molecule: transfer RNA, 73 nt
Filed under: Ailuropoda melanoleuca (giant panda)
Lineage: Eukaryota; Metazoa; Chordata; Mammalia; Carnivora; Ursidae
Rfam family: tRNA
About the family: Transfer RNA (tRNA) molecules are approximately 80 nucleotides in length. Their secondary structure includes four short double-helical elements and three loops (D, anti-codon, and T loops). Further hydrogen bonds mediate the characteristic L-shaped molecular structure. tRNAs have two regions of fundamental functional importance: the anti-codon, which is responsible for specific mRNA codon recognition, and the 3' end, to which the tRNAs corresponding amino acid is attached (by aminoacyl-tRNA synthetases). tRNAs cope with the degeneracy of the genetic code in two manners: having more than one tRNA (with a specific anti-codon) for a particular amino acid; and 'wobble' base-pairing, i.e. permitting non-standard base-pairing at the 3rd anti-codon position.
Source: Rfam by way of RNAcentral
GCCUGGCUGGCUCAGUCAGUACAGCAUGUGACUUGUGAUCUCAGGGUCAUGAGUUUGAGCCCCGUGUUGGGUG